CAUGCACCUGAUCAAAUUACGCUAAAUCAAAUUACACUUGAUUAAAUUGGGCCCGAUAAAAUUACACCUGAUGAGCCACGUCUUCGGAGAUAAAUAUAUAAUACAGAGGAAGUACUUGGGUUGCAUAUUAUAAUAUAACAGAACAAUAAUUGCAAUGCGUUAUGGAUUAUCCUAUAUAUGUAAUGAAUAAUCUCUUAUCUCUCUGCAAACAUUGUUCUUACUUUUAUGGUGUAGGAUCUGAUGUACCUUCAGUGUUCUAAUUAGCUAUAUCACUGCAUGCCAUGUUUAAGAACAUCAUUCAAGAAUGCUAUGAUACAUGGUAAUGACGUUCUUACUAUUUUGUAUCUUGUUGUGCUGAAUAAACUUGUAUGUGAAUGUUACUAAAAAGUUUUACUCUA
Molecule: long non-coding RNA, 398 nt
Organism: Vigna angularis (adzuki bean)
Lineage: Eukaryota; Viridiplantae; Streptophyta; Magnoliopsida; Fabales; Fabaceae
Exons: 2
Source: RefSeq, a predicted model, not a curated record